UUCUCGUUUAAAAUUGGAGAGUGAUGAUAUUGGUAAAUACGCUUGCAUUUAAUUUUCAUUGAAAUAUUUGGCAUGCAAGUGUGAAACUAAGUAAAAACACGCCUUCGAGUGUAUAUUUUGUAAAUCUAAGAGAAUUUUUGAAAAAUAUAUAUUAUAAUGUGCCAAACUAUAGUGAAAUUUCCGAGAGCAAAUAAUUACAAAGUAUUUAUUUCCGCAAUAAUUGGGAGUUACAAAGGUUGUUCCUGACUCACUCCCUAACAUCUCCACCAUGUUUCAUUAAAUAAGUCAUUAUACUUUGCAUAAAAUUGCCCAUGUUGCAUUAUACCAAGCUCUACGCAAGUGUUCCUUUAUCAGAUAAGCUCCGCGAGCAAUCUAUUGUAGAAAUGCGCGAGAACCGUAAUGGCAUUGUUAUGCCUGGACUAACCGAAACCCAAGUGUCAUCAGUUCGAGAAACAACAGACUGUCUUUUGCGUGGCUCAUCAGGCCGCGUUGUUGCGGCAACUGCAAUGAACGAGCAGUCAUCGCGCUCACAUGCGAUUUUCACUAUCACCGUUGAGGCCACCAAGAAAGACGAAAUGAGCACAGUAACUACUUCAAAGUUCCAUUUAGUAGAUUUGGCUGGUUAAGAACGCUCUAAGAAGACAUAAGCUACAGGUGAUCGUUUAAGGGAGGGUCUUUUAACUCUGGGAAACGUAAUAUCGACACUUAGUUCUGGUCGGCUCUGGUUUUGUCCGCUAUCGGGAAUCCAAAUUGACUCGUUUGUUGCAAGACUCCCUAAGCCUGCGCCAGUCCGACCGACUAUAAUGUUGCUGAGACUUGACUGAGUACCCUUCGUUGUGCCUACGGUGCGCGUAAAAUUAAAAAUAAACCGAUCGUUAACCAAGAUCCACAUGUAGCCGAGAUUAAUCAAGAGUGUCAUACAAAAGAAACGUAUUGAACUGUUGGCCGCCAAUGGGGGAACUAAUACAAUGAGCAGGUACAUUACAAAGCAUUGAACUGCUACUGAGAACUCUGACGGUGGAGAUGAUGUAGAUGGCGCACUGUUAGAAGUUCACUCACAAAUGUAAGAGCAGGUGUUCUUUAUAAUCCAUCUGAAUGUUGGUGAAUGCAUCAGACGAACAUUCAGAUGGAUUAUAAAGAACAGCUGCGUCGUAUUCAUCGAAAAUAAACCUAAAAGAAGAACUUCACCAACGUGUUACCGGUAAUAGAAAUAAAAAUGAAUAAUAAAUACAAGGUGAAGUCCAAAAUAAACAAGACUGGUGUCAUAAAAAUGUUUUUAAUGACGCCAUAUUUUUAAUGAGUUAGUGCGUAGGAAGUUACAUCCUAGCUGACUAAGUCAGCCUGACUUCCAGUGAAAGCUUGGCGACAUUCGGUUCAGUGGAAGCGAAGUUAUUACUUCUAAAGUGUCAGUAUGUUUGUAUCAUCGGUACAAGCAUGAGUUCGAACAAAUAGUCUAAGAGCUGGUAAGCAUUUUUAAGCAGGUAUUUGAGGCACAAUGAAAAUCAUCUAGAAUACUUUUUUAUGAUAUCAGAAACGUAGACCUGGCUAAGCGGGGCUAAACCAACCCUUAAAUUAAAAAAAAAAAAAUAAUAAAUUUGGUAUGCAAAAAAUGUUCUUGAGUUACUUUGAAAAUUUAAUAUGUUAAAAUUGAAUGUUUGAAAAAUAAAAAAAAGAAGCCAGAAACUUUGGCAGGUGAUUGCAAAAUAAUUUUCUAAAAAGUGAAAAAAUGUUUUUGAGGCACGUUGAAAUUUUUACCACAUAUUACACUGUGCGACAGUGAUAUUAUACUUUUAUGGAGACCUGGCACAACUUGUAGGUAUAGUAAAACUAAGAAAUAUGGUAUAGGAGAAAUUUCCAAUACACCCCCAAAAUCUUAUUUUAUGGUCAAAAAACCGUUUUUCGAAAGGUUGAUGUGGACAAUCGCUUAUAACUUCACUAAUUUUAAUCCCAUUUUCAAUUGUUUUUUUUUAGUUCAAAAGAGCAAAAACAAACCUUUCCGAUAGUGUGUUGACAAUUUUUCUGACAGGAUCACUGACGGAAGUAUUUGGAAUUUUUUGAUUUUUUCUCUAUUUUUUAAAUUUUGACAUAAUUUUUACGAUAUUAUCCGAUAUUGAGGAUUUUUUUAGUACACUAUUAUUAUACAAUAGUAAAUUUAAUUUUGCGUCGAAUGAGCCAUAUUUGACUGUAAUUG
This is a long non-coding RNA of Anastrepha ludens (Mexican fruit fly), 2191 nucleotides long. RefSeq lists it as uncharacterized. The transcript is spliced from 3 exons. The record is from RefSeq and is a predicted model, not a curated record. Lineage: Eukaryota; Metazoa; Arthropoda; Insecta; Diptera; Tephritidae.